RNAcentral lists this transfer RNA (76 nucleotides) under Planctomycetota bacterium. RNAcentral's name for it is "Planctomycetes bacterium tRNA-Ala". It matches the Rfam family "tRNA". From Rfam's summary of the family: Transfer RNA (tRNA) molecules are approximately 80 nucleotides in length. Their secondary structure includes four short double-helical elements and three loops (D, anti-codon, and T loops). RNAcentral also lists the same sequence under 1 other name. Lineage: Bacteria; Pseudomonadati; Planctomycetota. The record is from RNAcentral.
GGGCGUGUAGCUCAGUUGGGAGAGCGCGUGGUUUGCAUCCACGAGGUCACGGGUUCGAGUCCCGUCACGUCCACCA